GAUGAACGCUAGCGGCAGGCUUAAUACAUGCAAGUCGUGGGGCAGCAGGACUGUAGCAAUACAGUUGCUGGCGACCGGCAAACGGGUGCGGAACACGUACGCAACUUACCCUGAACUGGGGGAUAGCCCGGGGAAACCCGGCGUAAUACCCCGUAAUAUAAUGGAGUGGCAUCACUUUAUUAUUAAAGCUCCGGCGGUUCGGGAUGGGCGUGGGGCUGAUUAGGUAGUUGGUUGGGGUAACGGCUCACCAAGCCUACGACGAGGAACUGGUGUGAGAGCACGACCAGUCACACGUGCACUGAGACCCGGACCCCAAUCCUACGGGAGGCAGCAGUAAGGAAUAUUGUGCAAGGGAGGCAACUCUGACCCAGCCAUGCCGCGUGGAGGAUGAAGGCCCUCGGGGUUGUAAACUUCUUUUAUAGGGGACGAAACCUGUGUAUUCUUACGCAGUUGACGGUACCCUAGGAAUAAGCGCCGGCUAACUCCGUG
This 489-nucleotide ribosomal RNA is filed under the name uncultured bacterium. Its description in RNAcentral is "partial 16S ribosomal RNA". It matches the Rfam family "Bacterial small subunit ribosomal RNA", at positions 28 to 507 of the family's 1533-position model. The record is from RNAcentral.